CAAUAAAACAGCCCACAAUCUCAGAUGUCAGGCUCUCAGUUCAUCCAUGCUGUUCUAGUUUCAGGUUUGGGACACCCAUUGAAGGAGCUGGAAAUUUAUUCUGGAUGUCGGACAACAAGAGGUAUUAAAUAGCCAGAUGAGAAGGAGGGAGGCUAGGCGACAAUGAGAAGGGACAGUGUAUGAGUAGGAAUAUCAGAGUAUUCCAAUGAAUACACAAAUGGGGGAAGAAAUUUACAGUGUUCAUUUAUUCAUCCCAUCUCCAGAGUGGACAUUAAUCCAGUGAAUAUGAUUGGUAUUUACUGCUGGUGCUUUCAGGCCUUAAAAAAUACAUAAUUGAUUACAUUUUUCCUCAUUUGCUGGUGAUAAUGGCUUUGAAGUACUCUCCAUUCCAUUGAGAAUCCAGGGUUCAUGAAGCAUUGCUGCCUCCACACCCUCAACCCCUGUCAUACAAGCACCACAUAACCCAAAUUUCAGGACUAGGAGGUAUAAUAAUAGUUAAUAUAUUAGAGAAAUGCUCUUAUUUGGGACAUUGGUCAAAGCUUUGAAGUUUGCAAUUUGUUGGGUCUAUUGGAGCUGUCGAAGACCAAAGACUUCUCUUUGUAUAUUGUUGGCUAUCUCUUUAAUGCAUCACAAGACAAGAGAAAACCCAUCCUUGAAAAUAGAGGAUUUGCAUAUAAUUGGCAUCUGCUAAUUUAUAUGUUUAGAGGCAAAUGUAGUAUAAUUACUAUAAUUUAAGUAGAAACACAGUCUCACCAUAGUAGGGAAGGCUGCAACCAGGUGACCUGUGUCUCUGGCCAGGUGUUGACUGUUGACUAGCCACUACAAGGACCCUGUUCUUCCUUCUUGUGGUUCUUUAUAUUUAAACUGGUCUUGGAAUGGACAGCCCUUCAAACAGAGGGCUAUCCUAGUAAAGCUGGACACAUAGUAGCCUUACUUUCUUUACAGGUGGGGAACAUUUUCAGCCUAAGAGCCACAUUCCCUUCUGGCCAACCUUCUGGGGGCCACCUGCCGGUGAUGGGUGAGGUAUGAGGAAAAGGUCAGCAGAGCAAAAAAAUGUUUAUCUUUGUACAGCAGACUCAUUUAUACUCACACUCACAUACCCUUCUUUAGUCUCCAUCCAAAAAAUAAAAAAGACAUUAUCAGAGUUCAAGGAUACAGACUAGCCGGGCAAAAAACAGCUGAGGAAGGUGCAAAGCAGGGCUGAUGAGGGGUGUGGCUUAGAAGGGCAUGUCACCAAGCAGAGUGUUUCAAGGGCCACAUUUGACCCCUGUGCUUGAGGUUCCCCAACUAUGCUUUGCAUAUCAACAGUGUUUAUAUUCCAGCCCAUAUUUUGUGGUUUCGCAUCAUUACAGGAGGGGCCUGUUCCUGUCUUCUCAACAGUGGUACUGCUGACAGUAGGGUAAAUUUCUGUAGGGUAAAUUUCUAGUUCUCCACUCAUCAGACUGAGCAGAAGGUUCCCCUAAGCACAGCAGAGCUGACUCACCAUAUUUUAAAGUAGGUGAAGUAAUACACAUUACCAUCUAAAGAGCUCCCCACCCUAAGACCAUGAAGUCCAGAGUCUAAAAUUACCUAACGGCACCACUGCUUCUCUCCAGCCACAGAAAGCCCUUCCCAAGCUUUGCUUCUGGUUGAACAUUUUGUUUCUUGACCCAAGAACAUUCUCAGGAAGCCACAGUUCUGGAAAGUCCUGCCCUUAUUUUCCCUUCCUUGUUUAGCCUCCCACCACGUUGGUAUAUACGCAGAGGACUUUGUUCUAUUGCAUUCAAUUGAAAGGUUAUAAUUUGGACUAAAGAAAAAUGGCAAUGUGAGCUAAACAAAUUCAAACAAUUUCACUAAUCAGGGUUGCUUAUCUAACUUUUCAAAGGAGUUUUUUCUCCCAAUGUUCCAUCCCACUAUGUGCAAUUAGGCUAAAAUAGUAGAAAUGAACUGUUUAGCUUUCCCAUAUCAUAUUGUGUAGUCUAAGUUGAUGGUAAAACAGUAAUCACAAAAAAACUUCAGAUUUGGUUACCAUUACAGCCAAAGUAAAGUUAAUACUAAUUGCGUGGAUAAGAACAUAUGAAGGCCCAUCUAGUCCAUCAUUCUCUUCUCACAGUGGCCAGCCAGAUGCCUGUGGGAAAACCUCAAGCAGGACAUGAAUUCAAUAGCCGCCUUCUCACUUGUGAUUCCCGGCAACUGGUAUUCAGAAGCAUAUUGUCUCUGAAUGUGUGUUGUUAUGGACAGAUAGAUAUGGAUGGAGUAGGAAGAAAUUGGAUAGUUUUUUCCUCAUCUUAAUUAUUGCCCAAUGGCUGUAAUAAGAUAGUAAGAAGAGCCCUGCUGGAUGAGGCCAAAGACCCACUCUGUUCUCACAGUGGUCAGCCAGAUGCUUAUGGGAAGUUCACAAGCAGAACCUGAGCGCAACAGCACUCUCCCCAUCUACAGUCCCUAACAACUGGGAUUCAGAGGGAUACUGCCUCCGUCAGCAAAGCUCAAACAUAGCUAUCAUGACUAGAAACCUCUAAUACCCUCCAUGAAUUUGUCUCAUCUUCUUUUAAAGCUAGCCAAAUUGGUGGCCACUUUAACUUCCGGGGCAGGGGGGGGAUCCACAACUACGCGCUGCAUGAAGAAGUACUUUUUAAUGAAAUGUGUCCUGAAUCUUCCAGCAUACAGCUUCAUCGGCUGUUCCUGAGUUCUAGUAUUUUGUUUGAGAGACGGAAAAAUACCUUCUCAAUCCACACCAUGAAUAAUUUUGUACACCUCUAUCGUGUCCCCUCCUUACCUUUUCUAUAUAAAGGAGUUCUUCAUAAAGGAGUUGCUCUAUCCAUUUAAUCAUUUUGUUGCCCUUUGCUGGACCUUUUCCAGCUCUACAAUAUCCUUCUUCAGGUGAGGUGACUAGUAGUGUGGCAGCUGAUCGACGAGCCUGUAGGAUUUUGAGAUGCAUUUUUUUUAAAAAAAAAAAAAAAAGAGGGGCAGGGGUGGACAUAGGAGUCACAGACCAGGUACUCCAUCCCUUGACAUGAGUGAAUUCUCGUCACAUUAGAGAAUUUCCAUCAUUUUUUUCCCUGCAUGCAUACUGCUUCUUGCUUACAACAUGUCCUUUUGAAGGCUAACAUUUUCAUUAGAAGGAUGUUUCAAGGAGGGAAAUGUAUAUUACGUUUCUUACAUGGAAACUGUGGAGUUCCUCAUAAGCCCAAAGAAAAACAAGUCAUAGUCAGGGAGAACCACAUCCCAUAAAAGAAAUGAGACAACCACAAUGAAAUGAAAUGAAGCCCCACAAAGGAGGUGAGUGGUUUGGCUAGAAGACAAUGAAAAGGGCACAUCUGGUGAGCUGAUGACUCUCCAUGAAAGGAACAUAGAAUGAUGCUUGUAUUGCAUGGUAAAAUUAUCUGGCUGGCAAGUGGCCUCUAAGGCAAGACCGCUGGGUUAUUGGACAGUUUGUUCCAUUAUCUGUGGCUAUGUGCUGUGAUUACUUGCCACCUCUUGUGAGGUUGGUCAUCCAAAAUGUAAUGCUUCAGGGGUUCACACUGAUAAGUCAAUAGGAAUAUUUCAUGAAUAUCACUGCCAGCUGGGAAGCAGAGUAAUAUUUGGGGAAAGGAAUCUGAUUAUAAAUGGGUCAGAAGACUCUAGGAAAUAGCAUCAUGGGCUGGAAGGUGCCUGCUGGUCAUAAGUUGUGAGGAGGAGAUACAUUCCCUGGAUUCAGAGAAUUCAUAAACCACCCUAUAAAUUUAGCAUCAGUUACUAAAUUCUUAUCAGUUUUGUUCAGGCAUGAUCACACUGCCAACUCUCAUCAUCUUUAAGGGGAAUUUAAGGAACGCAGGAAGCUGUCUUAUAUUGAAUCAGAACAUUGGUCUAUCUAGUUCAGCUUUAUGUACACUGACUAGCAGUGACUGUUCAAAGUCUGACAUAGGAAAUGUGCAGCCUUACCUGGAAAUGCUAGGGAUUGAACCAAGGAUCUUCUGCAUUUAAGGCAGAUGCUUUCCCACUAGGCCAUUCAGUAACCUCUAGGGCCAGAUGAUCCUAAGUGCUCUUCUACCUUAGCAGAAGGUAUUGAUCACUGUGACUCCAAAGCUCAACAAGAAGUGACCUGACCAUGGCAAAGGACAGGUUGCAAAAUCCUGUGCUUUCAGAAAACUAUCAUGUCUAGAUAGAGAAGACCAAUUCUAGAGUGUGCUCUGCUAUAUGAGUUGGGCCAAUGAUAUGUUGGGAGAAUCCUAUGGGCAUCAUAGCCUCCACAAAGCUGUUGUGGAGUUGUUGUGGAUUGAGUGGUCCUGACAUGGAUAUGAAGAUCUGCCAGGGCAAUAAAAUUAAGUUUGGCUCUUAAAAACAUAAUCACAAAAAACCCCAUCUAGCUGAGCAUCCUGUUCUCACAGUGGUCAACCAACCUAUAGAAAGCCAAUAAGCAAGAUCUGAGUGCAACAAUUUUCUCCCCGCUUGGGGUUCCCAGCAGCUGGUAUGCAGAGACAUACUGCCUCCAAUUCUGAACAUGCUUGUGUGUGGUAUCUUAUCAAUGUGCAAACACUGGAUAAAGACCCAUUAUGUGAUCAUGCAUGGAAUCACAUCACGUGAAUUAACCCUAAUAUGCAGAGUUCCCCAGACUGCCCUCUCCAUGAUUAUUUGUGCAUUUAGCAUUCAAAGCAAUCAUUCUAAGAGCACAACUGCACCUCCAAGGAGCAUCUCAUCUCAAGAUACGAACCAGCAAGUUGUGUUUUUAGCAGCUGACACUGCACACGUGUGGAGCGGACAGUGACUGGUAUUUUUAAAAACAAAUUGUCAUGUUGCUUUUGCCCAAGCAUCACAGGUAUCAUUAUUGAAACCCACCAGUGUUUAGUGGAAGUGCCACUGCUACACACAAAACCACGCCCAGAGUCUCAGAUUUCUUAAAUAUAGUUGUGCUCAAAGAGUUCCUCUCACCACUUUGUUGGAGUUGGCUUCUUCUCUCCAUUCCUAAAGUACUUUUAAAACACACACAAACACACACCAAAAUUACAUAUCUAUCAAUGUGGCAAGUUAUUUUUAAAGUUUCCAAGGAUCUACUUCCUCAAGUAGAUCACUUUUUCUUCUUGAGAGAUAUUAACAUCACACUGAGCUCUGUCUCCAACUCUGAACCCUGGAAGUGCAGGAUUAAAAAAGCUCAAAGGGCUUCAGUUCCUGCCAUCCACAAAGGGGGUGGCAGCAAAGUAACCAGACUGCCGGGCUCCCCCAAUACUAGCUAGCCAACACAAUUUUUUUUUAAAAAAAGCUUGGAUAUGGGCAAGUAGUAGGUCACAAGAAGGGAUGUGAAUGUCUCCAUCUGAAACCCUAGAGAGCCACUGCUGGUCAGUGCUGAAAAUGCUUUGUGAGAUGGAAUAAUGAUUUCACUCAGUUCAGGGCAGCUAAAAGGGGAAAGCUAGAAUUAAUUGAUAACUUUCUGUUUUCUUGCAUGUUUUUAAUUGAAACCUAUGUUGUUUGCUUUGCAUAUAAACUUUUUUAAAAAACAGUGAUAUGCAUUAAUGAGAUAUAGUUUCCUGCAAGCAACCUUCCAGAAUUAGACUUACCGUAUUUUUUGCUCUAUAAGACUCACUUUUUCCGUCCUAAAAAGUAAGGGGAAAUGUGUGUGCGUCUUAUGGAGCGAAUGCAGGCUGCGCAGAAGCCAGAACAGCAAGAGGGAUUGCUGCUUUCACUGCACAGCGAUCCCUCUUGCUGUUCUGGCUUCUGAGAUUCAGAAUAUUUUUUUUCUUGUUUUCCUCCUCCAAAAAUUAGGUGUGUCUUGUGGUCUGGUGUGUCUUAUAGAGUGAAAAAUAUGGUAUCUUUUUUUAAAAAAGUCUCCAUGAAAAAUUCAUCAGCCUUUUAGUGCAAAUUUCUCAUAAUGUACGCAUGCUUCUAUGCAAUUUUCAUUUUAAAAACAUUUUUGUAAAGCAGUUUCCCCUAAUAAUUGUGCUUUUUAAAAUGCUAUUUUCACCAUAGAAUCAUAGAAUCUUAGAGGUGGAAGGGACCCAAUGGUCUUCUAGUCUAACCCCUUGCAAUGCAGGAAUCUCAGCUAAAGCAUCCAUGACAGAUGGCCAUCCAACCUCUGCUUAAAAACUUCCAAGGAAGAAGAGUCCACAACCUCCUGAGGGAGACUGUUCCACUGUGGAGCAGCUCUUAUUGUCAGAAAGUUUUCCCGUACGUCUAGUCAGAAUCUUCUCUUUUGCAGCUUGAAACCAUUGGUUCAAGUCCUACCUUCCAUAGCAAUAUGUGCUUUUUUAUGCACACUUAACACAAUGUAUGUAUUUUUGAACACAUUACUGCAUUCCUAAAUUUGGAACAGUGCACAUUUUGAGGAAUGGCCACGUUUUGGUUAGCAUACAGUUUCAUAACUUGUGAAUUAGGUAGAUUUGCCUUUAGAUGUGAAUUGAAUUGAAGUUUCCCUCCAUCUCUACUCACAAACACCCUUUGGCCACAACAAAAGUAAGAUAAGCACCUCAGAAACUCUCAAACUUCCCCAUGAGAAUUUCUCCAAAAUGUUCUCUCUACUUUAAUAAGGAAAUAAAAUACAUUUGAAAAUUAUCAAAGGAGAGAGAACAGUGAAGGGGGGGGGGAUUUUCUGCAGAACAGUAGAUUUCAUGCUCUGUCUAUGGCUGAUAAUAUAAUGUGCUUUCCUCCCAAAACUGUCUGCUUAAGACAGCUUCCCCUGAUUUUGAUAUGGUAUAAGUUCUCUUUUCCUGAGCUGAAGUGAGAGAACAGCUAAGGAAGUUUGUUAUUCUUGGGGGCUGGCUUUAUACAUGUCUCUUCUUGAUUUUUGUCAUGACAUUUUCUGAACCAAUUGUUGAUUGGAACCAGGCCAGUUUUUUCCUUACAAAAAAAUCUUUAAAAAAACCUCCCUUCUCUGAAAUUAAUGCUUUUCAUGAUAACUUACAUACAAACCUAGCUGAUAAUAGCUAUUUCAGUUGUUGCUCAGUGCUUUAAACAAGCUUUAACCAUUGAUAAAUUUUGCAUUUCUUUGUACAUCAAAAUGAUAAGGGAAGAAACUUUGACACAGUCUUUUGAUUCUUCAUUUAGCCCCCAGUUUUUCCCCUCAUCAGAACGUUCUUCUUCAGAUAGCAUUGAUCACCAAGCAAUCCUUCAAUAAUUCAUUCUGACAGAAAAACUCCACUGAUGAAAAUGUUGGGCUCUGGAACGAUUCUGCCACUGGCUUUUGAACCACAGUCUACAUAAGAGAGGUUACAACUUAGCUGUCUGUGGACAAACGCCAGCUCCCUUGGCCUGAAGUGAGAUGAGUGUUGCACCCCACAGUUGCCUUUGACUGGACUUAACUGUCCAGGGGUCCUUUACCUUUUUAAAACUUAGAAGUCAUCUGUAAUGAAGAAGUAAGGGAAAAGGGAAACUGAGAAUGCCUGUUAUGAUUAUUUUGGGGAAAACAAAUUCCCCUUGGGUCCCCUGAGGGUUAUCUAGUCCAACCCACUGCAAUGCAGGAGUUGCAGAUUUAGGCAAGAGAGGCAGAUUUAGGCAAUUGUGACUGGUUGCAUUGGGCAUGGAGCCUUGGGAGUGCUGCAAGUACAGGGCCAUCUUUACAAGGAACCAUUAGUGAGCCUUCUUGGGGUUCGGUCAGUCAACCAGCUACAAAUCCACCUAACUGUUACCUCAUCCAGCCCACAUUUUACCAGCUUCUUCACAAGAAUAUCAUGGGAGACUUUGUCAACAGAAUAACUUAAUUUUUCUUGAUCUUCCAGGAGACUUUCAAGCCAAGAACAGUGGUUUUCAUAAGCACUGGACCACAUUUUUGUGACAUUCAAAAUUGAAAGUUCUCUCCCCAGCCUCUGGCUUAAAGGCAGGAAACAAAUUUGCCCACUGGCAAUUUCUGCUCCCAUUUCUAUUUUUGUUUGAAUUCUCUGACAUCCCUAAUUAUGAUUUUCUGGGUGUUUUAAUUGUUAUUUUCUAGUGAUUUCUAAAUUUAAAGCAGUAAAUCCUAAAUUUAAAGCAGUCUAAAUUUAAAGCAGUUUUUGAAAUAAAUUAAAUGUGUAAUUGCAUGGUGUCAUAGUGUCUGUGACCUGAGGGGUGUUUGCCUUCUAGACAGCAACUGUGUUCAGGUUUGACAUCCCAUAGCUGCCAACGUGUAAAGAAGCUAAGAACCUUUAGCCCCAAAAUAAUCUAGGGAAAACCAGCCCUUCCUGAUAGAAUCUGUAGCCCCACAAAUCCUGGACCAAGCGAAACCUAGGUUGUUUCUGGAUGUCCUUGGAAUUCAAAAACACGAACGAAACAGUCCACUCACAGUCUUUUGAGCACUAAACCCACAAGUUAGUCAGUAGCAUAUGACCAAGUAGCCACGUACCAGAUUCAGAGCUAAUGCUUACUCCAAGAAGCUACACAAAGGAUAAAUACAAUACUUUUAAAAAUAGGUUAUGAAUGACAGAAUAAGAACCAUUUACAAAUAAGGUAUAUUUAAGAAAGGCUAACGGUGUAAAGACACUUUUCCGGGUUUGAAAACAGACCGUAAUAGCUUGUCUCACUCUAAUACCAAACAUUAGAGUCACAGAUCCCACUGCAUCCAGGCACAUGUGGUUUGUUGCAUCACACAGUCAUUCAUUCUGAUGGGGGGUCAUUAGAUCAAAAACCCUUUUUAUUCAAAAAGGCCUGGAUACAGAAGGAUAGGUUUUCCUUCGGCCAGUAAGGGCUUAGGGGCACAAAAAUAGACAUAAACAAUAAAUAAAACAUCAUAAACCAAACUGAACCACAUUUCCACAUAAAUGAUAGAAAGAUUUAAACAAAAGAUACAAACUCCUAAGCAACUCCCCCAACCCAAGAGUCUGUUCAGAAGCCUCAGCUUUUGUAGCUGGAGUCAGUCAGGGCCCCACCCUCCCAGGCCAGGUGGCAAAAAGCUUGCAAGAACUCACAGCCAAGAUGGUCCACAGUGAAGGUUUUUGAAGACAAUUUCUAGGAGCAAAUUCCUAGGAGCUAACUAAUUUUAAACUCUGCUUACAUUCACAGCUGAAAACAUGCCACUUGCAUUCCCCAAUGCAUUCAAUCUCACAGUUGUUAUUUAUUUGUAUUGCUACAGGUAUGAACUGAUGGUGCUCCCAUUCCAUGGUUUUGCUGUCCUCUAGUGCAUGACUGAAGAACAAAAUAAAUGUAAGUUUUUGAGUGCUUAUUCUACACCAAGCAGAAAAACGUAAGUGUUCCUACUCCGCCACCAAGUGGCCAUGUUGCAUAAAAAUAGCAAGCAUCUUUAAGGAGCAAUAUGUGUUGGAAUAUAAACUGCACUGAGGAUUUAGCAAUGCCGAAAAAACAUGAUGCUUCUUUUAUUUAUUUAUUUUAAGCAUUUCUUUCCUUGUUGGUUAAUCAUGCUCUUAACCCCAAAAAGGUUCCUGCAGUGGUUUUGUUGUUUAGUUGUUUAGUCGUGUCAGACUCUUCAUGACCCCAUGGACCAGAGCACACCACACACUCCUGUCUUCCACAGCCUCCCGCAGUUUGGUCAAACUCAUGUUAUUAGCUUCAAGAACCAUUCACAGAUCAAUAAAAACAAGGCAGUUCCUGUAUUGAGACUUACAACCCAAUCUAUAUGAGCCUAAAGGAAAAUGGAUUGGGAGGGAGAAGGAAAGGGGCAAAACCAGACACUAGCUUUUAAUUACAAGUUCUCCUAGUUAUUUAUUUAACAGGAUUUAUAUGCUGUUUAGUCGCCUAAAAGUGGCUUAUAUAAAUCAUACCAAUAACAUCAAACGUUAAAAAGAAGUUGACCUAAACUUCAUACAAAUAUAAACCCAACAGUUUAAACACAAAUGUGCAUAAUAAAGUAAAAUCACAUGUUAAAAUGGCUUGCCGGGGUAGGCUUACCUAUCCCAAAAAAGUUUUAAGCAGGCACCAAAAGCAGGGCAGUGAACAUACAAGCCUAAUCAAUGGGCAAGGAAUUCCAAACAGUAAGUGUUGCCACAAUGGAGGAUUGAUUCCAUGCAACUGAAGAACGAACAUUAUGUGGAACUUGUAAAAGUGUCAGUUCCACAGACUGGAGUGAUCAAGUGGGCACAUAUCGGGGAAGGUGAUCCAUAGACUAUAUACCAACAGUAAGAUCUUGAUUUUGGCCCUGGGUAGCAAAUAAGCAGCCAGCACAAAUCUCUGAGAGGCAGUUUAAUAUGCUAACAGGGUAUCACUCCUGUCAGCAUCACUCACUGAGCAGCCCUUUUUAGGAUCCACUCUGCUCACCCUGAAAAGGCAGAGGAGCUAGAAAAGGUGCCCUAAACAUAGGCUGCCUCCCUUUUUCCUUGACUGGAUUACCACACCCAGUGGGGUCACCACCUAGCGAUCGUAAAAGACAAUUGAACUUUGGAACAUGGACUUUGUCGGAUAAUGCAGAUAACAAGCAUCCUGAACGCAGAACUGCCAUCAUAGCAAGAGAGCUGCAACAUUUUAACAUCGAUAUUGCAGCGCUUCAAGAGACUCGAAGAGCAGGUGAGGGACAACUGAAGGAAGAAAAAGGAGGCUACACAUUCUUUUGGAAAGGUCUAUCUGAAUAAGAACAUCAAAUACACGGGGUGGGCUUCGCUAUCAAAAACGAUCUUGUGAAGCUCCUGUCAGAAGUCCCUACCAACAUUAAUGAGCAACUCUCAACCUUUUGAAUAAAACUCACCAAAACCCAACAGGCUACUAUUAUAAGUGCUUAUGCACCAACAUUGGAUGCCAAUGAAGACAUUAAAGAAAAAUUUUACUCUCAGCUGGAUACCGUCCUAUCAGAGACGCCUAAGGAAGAUAAAAUUAUCCUCCUGGGUGAUCUUAAUGCAAGAAUUGGGUGAGAUUUCGAUCUGUGGUCUGGGACUAUUGGGAAAGAAGGAAUUGGCAAGAGCAACCAGAACGGAAUCUUACUUUUGACAAUAUGUGCAGCGCAUAACCUUGUUAUUACCAACACACUCUUUUGACAGAAAAAUAAAUUUAAAACUUCAUGGAGGCAUCCUCAGUCAAACCACUGGCAUCUCUUAGACUAUGUGAUUGUCCAUGCUAAAGAUCGCCAUGAUGUGCUCCUUACCAGAGCUAUGACAAGUGCCGAUGACUGCUGGACAUAUCACCAACCAAUACACUCCACGAUGGCUUUCAAGAUUAUACCUCAACACAGGCUUCAAGGAAGGAAACCAAGGAGCAAAAUGAACACUCAAGCCCUUCAAGAUCUCGUUAAGUGGGAUUGCUUCCAAAUGACUCUUAAGGACUAUCUGCUUUCAGAAUUUCCUGAUAACAUUGAUGAACACUGGACCAAGCUAAAAACAUCCAUUAUUGCAGCCGGUGAACAAACUAUUGGAUACGAAACCAAGAAACACCAGGACCGGUUUGAUGAGAAUCACAGUGAGAUUGAACGCAUGAUUGACAAGAAAAGGAAGGCUUUUCAGAUCUGGCAAAGACAUAGAAACUGUGCCACUAAGAAAAAAACCUAUGCCAACCAAGGCUGAGGUUCAAAGAAGAACCAGAGAACUAAAAAACACCUAGUGGAUAAAAAAGCUUAAGAAAUUCAGCACUUAGCUGACACUCACGGUGCACAGAGUUUCUUUAAAGCCACGAAGACCAUCUACAAGCCAAUAAAUCAUGGCAUAUGACCCCUAUGCUCAGCAGAUGGUACCACACUGCUAAAAGAUAAAGAAGCUAUGGCACUGCCUAGAAAGAACAUUACCAACAUCUCCUUAACCGCAACUCCCCCGUAGCUGCUGAGGUCCUCUCACAAAUUCUGCAAAAACAAGUUACAGAUGAGCUUGUGGUAUCUACAAAUCUGGAAGAGUUGUGUACAGCUAUUAACCAAAUGAAAAACAACAAAGCCAGCAGACCUGAUGGGAUACCUGCCAAAGUCUUCAAAGUGGGUGGAACUGAACUUACACAACAACUUCACAAGGUCAUCGAAAAAAUCCGGGAGAGAGAAGAGAUCUCAGCAGACUUUAGGCGUGCCAAAAUUAUCAAUCUCUUUUUAAAAAAGGUAACAGAACUGACUGCCGAAACUAUCAAGGCAUCUCUCUAUUAGCUGCGGCCAGCAAAAUUUUUGUAAGGAUCUUAGCAACCUUCUCUUAACAAUAUCUGAGGUGACCCUUCCUGAAUCCCAAAAUGGUUUCCGGCCUUUUAGGGGGACAGUGGACAUGAUUUUUACCCCUCGACAGCUUCAAGAAAAAUGCAGAGAGCAAAACCAAUCCUUGUAUAUAGCAUUUAUUGACUUAAGGCUUUCAACACUGUAAAUCGUAAUGCCCUGUGGACUGUCCUUCUGAAAGUUGACUGCCCAGAUAAAUUUGUGAACCUCAUUCGGCUCCUCCAUGAUAAUAUGACAGCAACAAUCGCAGAUAACAAUGGCUUUCAAAGUGAACCAUUCACAGUGGGAUCAAGUGUUAAACAGGGUUGUGUCAUUGCCCCAAUAUUCAUUAUUUUCAUUGCCAUGAUCCUACACUUUGUUGAAGGGAAACUCCCCACCGAAGUAGAAAUCAUAUAUCGAACAGAUGGAAAGCUCUUCAAUCUGAGCAGGCUGAAAGCAAAGAGUAAAGUUACUGUAACUUCCGUCAUAGAGCUUCAGUAUACUGAUGACAAUGUAGUGUGUGCAUGCUCAGAGGUUGACCUCCAAACCAUCCUAAAUAUCUUUGCAGAAGCUUACAAAAAACUUGGCCCAUCACUCGACAUCCAAAAAACUGAAGUGCUGCACCAACAAGUACAAAAUAAGCCUUCUGCAGCUCCACACAUCCAACUCAAUGGUGCAAUGUUGGAAAAUGUCUAUCACUUCUCCUACCUAGGCAAUUAUCUUUCCACAAGGGCCAACAUUGAUGCUGAAAUCCAGCAUCGCCUGAGCUUUACGAGUGCGGUUUUCUCCCAGUUGAAGUGCAGAGUGUUUGAGGACAUUUGCAGGGAAACCAAAAUGCUUGUUUACAAAGCUAUUGUACUAGCAACUUUACUGUAUGCUUGUGAAACAUGGACCACUUAUAAACACCAUCUCCAACUCCUUGAAAGAUUCCAUCAAUGGUGUCUCCGAAAAAUUUUACACAUCACUUGGGAAACCAGCUGAACUAAUACCAGUGUACUGGAAGAAGCAAAGAUCACCAGUGUUGAAGCAAUGAUUCUUCAACAUCAACUUCAUUGGAUUGUUUAUGUUGUGCAGAUGCCUGAUUAUUGUCUUCCAAAGCAACUACUCUAUUCUGAACUUAAAAAUGGAAAGCGUAAUGCUGGUGGUCAACAAAAGAGGUUUAAAGACUGUCUCGAGGCAAAUCUAAAAAAAUGUAGUAUAAACACCAAUAAUUUGGAAACACUUGUCUUCGAGCACACCAAUUGGAGAACAGCCUUUACCAACGGUGACAUGGGCUUUGAAGACACUUCAACUCAGGACGCAAGGGAGAAGCGUGCUAAGAGGAAGGCACACUUGGCAAAUCCACACUGUGACCAACUCCCACCUGGAAACCAAUGUCCCCACUGUAGAAGGACGUGUGGUUCCAGAAUUGGUCUCCACAUUAACUUACGGACUCAUUGUUAAAACUGUGCUCAUGGAAGACAAUCUUACUCGGCUACGAGUGAUCGCCAGAGAAGAAGAAGACUCCUGUCAGCAAUCACACAGCAGCAUUCUGCACCAGCUGUGAUUUCUGAACCAAGUACAAGGCAAGCCCCACACUAAGUGCAUUGCAGCAAUCUAAUCCAAUCUUCUAAUGACCACAUGAAGUUUGGAACAACUUUUCAAAGACAUCCUGACAGAGAAUGAAUUGCCAUGACCUAGCUUGGACGGGAUCAAGGCAUAAGUAAACAUGGACAGAUUCUCCUCCUACUGGAAAGGAGGCAGUUGAUGCAUGGCCAAAGCUGAGGAAAUGCACUUUUAACUAUAGCCACCAUCCUGCUCAAAAGCAGCAUCUGAGCACAACAGCACUUUCUUCUCCUGCAGUUUCUUUUUUUUUUUUAAUGAUAUUUAUUGGAAAUUUUUUUUUUGAAUUACAAAAGAAAGCAAAGUAGAAAAAGAACAAAGAAAGAACAAAGAAAAACACAAACCACAUCCAACAAUACAAAAAAAAAAAACAAAUUAAAAAACAAAAACAAAAAUACACCACAAACUUUUUAAAACAAAUCCAUUAUUCUCAAACCCUCAACUGUCAUUACCUUCUUUCUUUGACCUCCUCCUCCUCCCUAUUUUUGUAUCCUAGUUGUUAAUUGUUGCAGCAAAUCCUUUCCAUAUUUCAUAAAAUUCUGUCAUUACAUUACCUUAAACUAUUUUAAUCUUAUCUUACUAUAAAAAACCUUGAAACUUAAAACUUAAAUCUUAUUUUUACCAACUUCUCAUAACCAUAAUAUUCUUACAUAAUUCUUUAAACAUUUUUACUAAAGCCAAGUAAUUUCAUUCCAACAUUUUUCUAACAUUCAUCAAUUUUAUAAAACAAUCCUAGUAGUAGAAAAAGAAAUAAAAACAAUCCAAUCUUCAUCCAGCGUCCCUUCCUCCUGGUCCUGGGUUUUGUCAGUCCUUAUUUUCCCAUUGAUCUAGCGCAUUAACCUGGUAACCUUAUAUCCGAGGCCCUUAAGUCUCUUCCAUGUCCCUUCCGCAGCUCUUCUUCAUAUUUGUAACUGUAUUUUCCAUUGUCUCCUGCUCGUUUCACUCGUGGGAACUCCAGCUUAACAAUGUUUUUGACCCUUUUCAACAGAUCAGCCCCUUUUCCAUAGUCCAAACUAAACUCCAUGUGGUAUUUAAAAACGUGUUUCAGAAUCCCUCCAAAAUUAAGAGCCCCCACAAUCCCAGACAUCUCACGGCCCAUUGCCAGACUUGGAAAGUCCAGACAUCCCUGCAUAGGGGGGUCUAUCCAGCCCCCCAUUUCCAAACCAAACCAAACUUUUUCUUUCCAAAUCUGGCUUUUUCCAAGUUCAUUUGUCAAAUCCGAAAGCUCAUGUUCCUGUUGGGCCUGUUCUGUCAAGGCACACUCCUGAUUUAAUUCCUGGGUGGGCUCCACAUAUUUUCCCACUGCCUGUUCAAAAUUUCCCACUGCCUGUUCAAAAUUUCUAAUCGAAUCAGCCAUCAAAUUCGUCUUCUCAUGUAGCUGUUCCAAUAGGGCAUUUGUUUUAUAGAAAGCACACAACAGAGCUUCUGAAUACAUUGUCCUGCAAGGUCAGAUGUCUAUUCCCACGAUUGUAAUCUGUAACAGCUGCCAGCUCCCCGGAGUUGGUUACAGUUUCACAGUCUCCCUCUAGGGGGAAAACUUCUAUUUGUUCUUUCUUUUAAAGACAAGUCUAGCGACAAAGUUUCCUUUUUCAGAUAUUUUGUCAAUAUUUGUUCCUUUAAGAAGCGAAGGGGAACAAUGGAGUCAAAGUUUCUCUUCUUAUAGCUAUCUGUCAAAAACGUUGUCUCUGGUCAAUGAGCUUCAAAAAAAACGUCAGUCCUAACACCCCGCUCCAGGAUCAGGACGGUGGAAAGUUACUUUACUUUACCCUCACUUCUGCAGGUUUAAACAGUCCGAAAAAAUCCCCCCCUCUUCUCCUGCUUCCAAAGGGGGUUCAACAAUUUUAAAUGAUGAAAGUUAAUCUUUUACAGGCGAUUUUCUGAGCUCUAGUUUGCCAUGUCUUUGCUUUAAUCUAUCUACAAAGAAACGGAAGGCUGACUUCCUGUUUAGACCUUCCCGUUUCAACGCCAAAUUAAGGUAAACUUUUAAGUCCAAUUUUCCUUUCUGCUCACAGGUCCUUAUUUAGAGUCCAAUUGUCCGAGUUUAGGUACUCACGGGUGAUUAUUUUAGAAGCCAGAUUGUCCCAGGAAAAAGGCAGCGCUCUCUGGCAACGGCUGUGCGGCUUCGCUCCACAGAAGAAGCAGUUGACUCUCAGCACCGUGCCACUUCCCCCUCUUCGCUCCGGAGCCCAUUAAUGGGUUCUUUUGCGGGUUGGGGGGGGCGCUAAGAGUGCCCGCCGAGUCCCAUGGUCACAGGCUUCAUCCGCCUGUGAUUUUUGAAUGGGUCCCCGCUUCGCCGUAGCGGAAAAGACCCGAUUCCCGUGGAACUGGUCCCUCCAGUUCAGAGGGAAUCCGCCAUUGCCGAUGGCGCCACCCCGGAAGUUCUCUUCUCCUGCAGUUUCUAGCAGCUUGUAUUCAGAAGUAUAUUGCCUCUGACUAUGGAGGCAGACCACAUCCAUCAGAGUUAGUGGCCACUGAUACUCUUAUCCACCAUAGAAUCCUCCUCUACAUGGGAGAAGAUCCUGGGCCAAACAGGAUUCUUCCCUGUGUGCAGAAGCUGUACAGAUGUAACUCAGUGCACUUUUAAGUCUCCUCAUUUGUGCCAUAUGCAUAGGUAAGGUAAAAAAAAGAUACAGUACCCCUGGACAGUUAGGUCCAGUCAAAGGUGACUAUGGGGUUGCAGCACUCAUUUCUCUUUCAGGCCGAGGGAGCCAGCAUUUGUCCACAGACAGCUUUCUGGGUCAUGUGGCCAGCAUGAAUAAACCGCUUCCGGCACAACAGAACACCAUGGAAACCAGAGCGCACAGAAAUACUGUUUACCUUCCAGCCGCGGUAGUACCUAUUUAUUUAUUUCCACUGGCAUGCUUUCGAACUGCUAGGUUGGCAGGAGCUGGGACAGAGCAACAGGAGCUCACUCCGUCACAGGGAUUCAAGCCGUCAACCUUCUGAUCGACAAGCCCAAGAGGCUCAGUGGUUUAGACCACAGCGCCACCCAUAGCCUGGUGGCAUAGUUGGUGGGUGGCACAUGCAUUUGAGGCUUGUCCAUAGGGGCAAGUGGAGCAGGGUCAUACCAACCUGAGUCUGCUCUCAGCCAAUCUCUAUCUGCCUGCUUUUUCCUACUCACCAACACCUCUGGUUGGGCUCUCUGCCUUCCACCCUACUAGCCUCAAUAGACACCAGCCACCACUGGACAUGUACAGCAUUGGUGAGUGAGAGCUGACACAGGACGCAUUGCCAGAAGUGGCUGUGUGAUGUAACUACCCUAUAUUCUUUCCGGGACAAUCGUAUCAUUAGGCACGCCCUCCAGAGAUAAAAUUGUUUUUAUAUAUGAAAUUGUUUCAGGCAUGUUUUUAUAUGAGAAAUUGUUUGAUAGGGGUUGCAGCCAGUGUAGAACUGUUAUAGUUACUUAGCGGUAGACUUGUUGUGGUGAUGAAAUGUCGCUGCACAAGGGAAAACAUAAGAAUAUAGAUCAUCGUGCCACCGGUUGUGCAACAAUGACCGACUGUUACACAACAAGCACCGGCUGUUGUACAACAAGAAUUACAGUAGGUGCUCUGCAACAAGUUGUUGCAUUGGAUUCUUUUCUUGUGCAACUGUUAAACUUGGCCACCAGAUGGCACUGUGGAGUCCCAUCUUUUCCAAAUGGAUUUCUCUAUAUGAGUUUACAUCGCGUUUAACUGAAAUGCUUCUUUGAUGUGUCUAGAUCCAGCCCAAGUCUGAAACCAAUAACCAAAGCACACCUAAUUAAUAUACACACUAAAACAAAUUCAUCAACUCUUUAAAAUAAACAACCAGUAUUGAUAUGUACAAUAAUUAAAUUAGUUAUAACAGCAGUUAAAAGAUUUAAAACAGGAGGUUCAAGUCAGGUAAUUGUUACAGAUCCUGUCUGGGUAAAAAUGGAUUGUGAACUUUAAACAACAGCCUUGCUGUGUAUGCCAAAGUUGACCAGGCCUGAGACACACAGCUGGGGAAUCUUUGCAAAAGAAGAAUGCAAGAAUACCAAGAUGGACUUAUUUGCUAACUAAAUGUUAUAGCAAGGGUGUUCUCUGCUUAUUGAAGAGUAGCCCUGAAAAUGGGGAACAGGAAAUAGAUUGAAGGAAUCAUCCUAACUAGGCAGGCUUAAUUCAUACACACAGCUUGGUGGUAAAACAGAGAACCAUGACCAUCUUAUUAAUUUUGGAGAGUUAAAUCAUGCACCUUUUGAAAAUGUAUAAUGGCAAAAUCACCCCACAGCUCUUCAAGAACAUAAAAGGAGUCUUUGCUCAUUUGGCUUUCAUAUUUUAUAUCCUUCAUGUGAAACAACUCUCUCCAUUGAUCUUGUAGAGUGGCCUUUAUUUUGGAAGGAGAGUGCCCUAUUACAGAGGCAACCUGCUGGGCUUGAAGGACCAGGCGGGAACUGUGCAAUGCUGUGUCCUUAAAUGUUAAUAGCUGAUAAAAUUUUUGUUAGGAGAUAGUUACAGGCAGCCUGAUUUCCCAGGAGCUGCAUUAGUGCUGAUCUAAAAUGUGGCCUUCCCAUUUCACUACCCCAUUUGAGGAUGGCAGGAGUGAAGUGGGGAGCCAUUUUGGCUAUCUCUCAAGUGAGAAUCCUUCUUUGGCCUGCCCAUAAAAAGUAUAGCAUGAGAGACUAGGGUGAUGUCUGCUGUUUCCAGGAACUCUUCUCAUUGUGAGGCUGCUGUGGGUGAGCUGAGAGUUUAUUUGUACUCUGGGUGAGAACCCAGAAGCUGUGAGGGAGGGUGCAUGAGAAAGAUAAUGGAUUUGUAUUGAUUUAUAUAUAUUAGUAAUUUUGUACUUAUGUAACAUUUUUAUAUGUGGUUGUGUAUUUGUUUAAAUUGUCUGUUGUUGCUUCAGUUUUCUGUAAACUGCUUAGAGAUAUUUUUAAUAUAUUAAGUGGUAUAGAAAUUCAAUAAUCAAACAAUCUAUCUAUCAAUUGACCGUGGAGGCAUAACAUUGCCAUCAUGGCUAGUAGCCAUUGAUAGAGUUCUCCUCUCUGACUUGCCUGGACAGAGAGGGCUGUGUGUGUGUGUAUAGUAGCCUCUGAAUUUUAUGUGGCUUGAAUGUAGCUAAUAACAGGCAGAGUCAGUUAAUACUUGUUUUGCCCACAUUCUCCUCCCUGCUGAGUUCUACAAGGGGUAAAACUAAGACUAAGAAGGAGGAAACUGACAGAUAGUAAGUAAGAAGGAAGGCAGGUGGGGACAAACUGACGACAGACUGAAAUUCAUGGCACAGUGACCCACUGGCCCCAUCCUGGCCCUGGCCCUGACCUUGUCAUAUACCUAAGGUUGAUUUUGGGUCAACUGAAAAGGGGAAUUCAGAUGUGCUAUCACGGCUUAGCACACACGUCCAAGUUUAGCCAAAAGUGUUUGAGGCAUUAAUAAUCAGCUCUUGCAGAGGAAAAGAGAGACGUCUUGUCACAAUCAGGCUGUAAAAAAAAAGAUUAUCACUGCCCUGCGCCUUCAUUUUUAAUAAAUAUUUGCUGUUUGCUUGCCAAAAAGCUGUAGAGUGCUGUUUGACUUCCUCAGCUUCCCUUUUCACAUACAAUCCAUCAAAACCCCAACUGCUAAACUCCACCGGAAUGUCUAUUCUGUUUAUUUAUUCCAUUCACUCUGCUUGGCUCACUGGGGGCAAAUAACCUGUCUUAAGCUGUGGCAGAUGCUAUUUUAUAUAUUUUUGAGACAAGUGAAUGUGAAGCGGAUCUGGAUUAGAGGUGGCAUUUCCUCUUAGGGUCUGUAAGAUCCAGACAGCUGCUCUGGCUGUUCCCAUAUGGGAAGCAUGCCCUCAAAACCUGAUGCGGCAUUCAUACAUAUUCCUGAUCCUCCCCUGCUGGCUACCUGUGUCCAUCUGUUACAAUGCUUCAGUGCCAACUUGUAACUUAAUCAGCCCUGUCCUUAAUGCUCAGUUUCCAGGCAAAGCACUAGGUUAGGCAAACAACACCCUGCAUGACAAUAACCCAGUCAAUGGCUCACUACAUAAGUUUACCUGCAUUGUGGAUUCUGUUCCCUUGAUUGAAGCAUUAGGGACACACAUACUCUCUCUUUUGCUUAUGUUAGUGUAGUGAAUCCUCUUUUAUCCCAAGGGUCACAUUUCCUUCUUCAAUACCUUCCGAGUGUCACAUGUCCAUGGUGGGUGGGAAUAGAGGAGAAAGUGGGUGGAGCAAUACAUGGAGAUACUUGCCUUUGAACAGUAGGCUAGUCUCACUCACACAAAUUUCUGAAGGGUUGUCACAUGGAAGAUGGAGCAAGCUUGUUUUCUCGUGCUCUGGAGGGUAGGAGAUGAACCAAUAGCUUCAAGUUACAAGUAAGGAGAUUCUGACUUAACACCAGGAGGAACUUUUUGACAGUAAGAGCUGUUCCAAAGUGGGACAGAUUUCCAUGGGAGGCGGUGCACUCUCAUUUCUUGGAGGUAUUUAAGCAGAGGUUGGAUGAUCAUCUCUCAUGGAUGCUUUAAUUGAGAUUCUUGCGCUGCAGGGGAUUGGAUUAGAUGACCCUUGGGGGAGGGUACCUUCGAACUCUCUCAUCUCCAUCCAGACAAGCAAGGGGCAUUAUCAGAGUUCAAGGACACAUUCCAGCUAGGCAGAAACCCUCAAGGAGGGUGCAAGGAAGGGCCAGGGAGGGUUAUGAUUGGGGAAUGGGUGUGGGAGAAUGGAUUCUUGGGAGAAUCCCAAGAGCCAGAUAAAGAACAUUAGAAAAGCCCCAUAGGAUCAGGUCUGUGGUCCAUCUAGUCCAGCAUUAUGUUUUCACAGGGGCCAACCAGAUGCCCCUGGGGUGCCCACAAGCAGCACAACAGCACUUAGCCUUAAAGUGAUUCUUAGUAACUGGUAUUCGGUAGCAUACUGCCUCCAGCAGUGGAGGCAGAACAUAGUCAUCAGGUUUAGUUGCCACUGAAAAGCUUAGAGGACCACUGGCCUAAUUAGAAGCCAAGGUUCCUUAUUCAGCAAGGUAUAUGAUGAUGGAGAAACUUUGCUGAAGGCUGGCAGACCUGGGUCUAGUCUAGAGACGAACUGGAAUUUCUCAGUAGAUGUUUUACUCUGAGAUAAUUCUGAGAUCUUUCUUUCCACAAGCACCCCCUGCUCCCAAGAAGGCCCUUUUGCAGAAUUUUCUCUGAAUAUUCACUACCAUUUUUGCACAGGAGCCACUAUUCUCACCUACCUCCAUGCCCCAUAAGCAUGGAGAAGAAUCUGCCAUUACAUGAUAAGUAUGAAAAGGGAGUAUUAUCAGGAGAAUCAGCAGCUGACCCUCGGUGCCUGAAUUUCAGAAGAUGGCAGUUUGGAACAAAAACAUUUCACAGAUUAUGAUAACGCAGGUGAUUUAGCAGUACCAUUUAUAUUCCACAAUACAAUUCUCAGGACAUUGGGGUAUUAGCUCUUAUUUGCUUUUUAAACAUUCUAAAUGUACCUAGAAGGACAAAUGAAGAGAAAAAGAGAAAUAUCUGAAUAUUUUAACCAUCCUACUGUAGACCUGAAAUUCGUAUGUUCUGUGAAUGUGUGUCUUUUAGAUAUAGGGAGUUAAGUGAUUGUUUACUUUGAAGUAAGUCCUGUGUGGGGCUUAAUCUCUGGUAAGUGCAUUUAGAACUGCUGCCUGAAAUACUCCUCCAAAUCAAAACACUCCCCUUUUAAAAAUGUCAGAGCAGAAUAAUGUAAGACAAGCACAGUGCUAUGUAGAUCCUUUUGACAUUUAACAGCAGCACUUCCAGCGACACCCGAUACAAUCAUGAAGCCACUAAAAAGACAGAUGGAUCGGAGCAAUAAAAUGAAUGGCUGGCUGGCUAGGCAGAGAGAAAAAAAUGUUGCCCUGCAUUUUAUCUCAUCACGGUACUUUUUGCACAAGGAGCUCAAGUCCUCGGAUGGAGGAGGCAGGAUGAAGUAUAGUGGUUGCUUUUCUUCCAGCUUAAAUGUCAGAACUUUUGGAUCUGUUUUCAAAAGCAGCCAUGUCUUUUAUUUUAUUGACAUUUUUGCAAUUAUUUCCCUUCUCUUGUUCAUCAGCUCCUUUAAGUCUGUGCCGGUAGGGAGCCAGGAACAACAACAGCUCAACAAAUCAUAUGAAGAUGAAUAGAGGAGCAGAAGGACCUUUAAAAAAAGAGAAUCCUGAGGGUGAGACACAGACACAUGGAGGGCUAAUUCUCUUCUAUUACUGUAUCAAAACCAUAUUCAUUCCAUAAUUCUUUUCCUCCAUUCACAUUUGUUUUACUUAUUUUUUCUCUCUCCCUCUUGCAGGUUCUUUUAACUUUUGUUUCUGUCAUAGCUUAUGAUGGUAGGAACAGUGGAAAUCUUAUCAGUGGCUACCUUGUGGUGACCACUCUUCUAUUUUCUCUGAAUGCCCUUGGUGUGACAUCAAUUCAAAACAUUUUUAAAGGAAAAAGCAAAAAGCUGCUACUGAACAAUGUAAACCCCAUCAGUCCCUAUUUAAGGGCAUGCCUUAAAUAACAAAAAAGAAAAAAGAAAGCAAUCCAUAUACGUGGGUCCCAUUUGGUUUCAUUUUUCUCCCAUUUUUAAUUACAGCAAUAUACAGUGCUAUUAUUCUAGAAAAAGAGGUGCCAGAACUCACCAUGAAUGCCUCCCACCUGAGAGGAGCUGGAACUGAGUUCCAGUGCAUUCCGGCUGGAAAAAAGCCCUGGCAGUAUAUAAUUGAUCACAAUCUCAUUUAUUCCCAGGUGGUUUUUUUAAUCCGUAUUGAACUACUGAAACCAUAUUUUUGAAGUUUCUUCAAAUGCCUAAUGUCCCUUUAAUGUUAUUGUCAAUUUAACAAUAUCUAGCUGUUCUCAUAGUUUCCUUGCUAAUGCCAAAUAUAUUGAUAGUUGGCGUGUGGGUUAUCUUCCAUACUUUAGCAAAGACAAUUCUAUCUAGAGUAAGGAUCUAUAACACUUGUGUGCUUGGGCUUUUGAGAGCACUAUAUUAUUUUUGACAUAAUUUAAAAGGCACAGGAAUAGAUCAUUAUUUAUAUCUAUAUGAAAUAUUUCAUGCCCAGUAUUUUCUAGUCUCCCAACCAUUCUACCAAAUGGGGAAAAAAUCUUACAGAACCAAGAUUUAGGGUGCAAUCCAACCCUCCAAACUCUAUCAGUAGAGCUGUGCAGAAUGUUGGAGCCACUGCAGCAUCAACAGCCCAGCUGCUAAUGAUAGUCAUAGUGGAGGUGGGUAUGGAGGCAAUAAGGGCUGAAUUGAACCCAAUGUCAUCGUAUGCUGUUAGUGGCACCACUCAGCAUCUCAGGGAUCCCAGGAUGGUUCAGACUCCACCCCAACCUCAGAAUGCCCCAUUUUGGGGCUUUUUAUUGGCUACCACUGGCGGGAAACACAGCAGUGUGCUGCCCACACAUUGGGCAGCUGGCAGAUCUGAGUAGAAGGACACCUCCACACAAUCCAACUUGUCCCCCAGAUCCCUCCACUGACCUGUGUUGUUGUUGUUGUUUACUUUACUCUUCCAUAGGGUCAAUCUACAUUAUGUUGCCAUUUUAACACAGUAUUGCUUGUAGCUGAGGAAGUGGAUCCUGUUUUAAAUAGCAAUAACAAAAUCCUAGUACUUCAGUUUAGUAAAGCUGACAUAUUUUGGAAAACCACUGUUGACCCCCCCUCCUUUUCCAACAACUCCCUGAAAUCAUUUUCUUCUGACUUAAUUAUUGUCCUUACUUGAUCCUGACUUAGUAGAAGCUUCAUGUGAUGAUUUACAACAACUGUAGCAAAUGCUGUGAUCUGGCAAAUCCCCAAACAUACCUCAUAUAAGCUGCUGCUUAUAAACCAUGUGAUAAUGUGCUGCCUUUUCAUACCACUAGUCCUUCUUUAAUAGCCUGUGUUAACAGCAACAAUAAACCUUUUCUCACACAUUAGGGAAGUGGGAAGUGAAUCAAGUUUUAUUUUUGCAAAGUGUAGAGCACAUUGGUAGUCUGUGACAUCCUCAGAAAGCAAGGAAAGUCUCUUAAUACCAAAGGUGCAUUAAAAUCAUUGACGUUGAGAUUUCUGACUCAUUGGAAAUAACAUAAUGUACAGUGGUACCUCGGUUUUUGAACAGCUUAGUUCACAAACAACUUGGAACCCGAACGCUGCAAAACCAGAAGUAGGUGUUCCUGUUUUUGAACUUUCAUUUGGAAGCGAAAUUUGCUCUGUUUUGAGUCCCCCUGUGUUUCCUGUUGCGCUGCUAAUUUACACACACCCCAUUGUAAUUCAAGCCUUCUGUUUCUAAUUGCAGUGUUCUGAGGUGAUAUUUGGAGCUUAUAUUUGGUGCUUUUGUUUUUGCUAUUUAUUUUGCCUUUUUGUUUUGAGGCUUUUUCAGUUAAUUUGUUUUUGUGACUGUGUGGAUCCCAGUUCAGCUAUUGAUUGAUUGAUUAUGUGACUGUGGAAAUGGAUAAAAGCCCCCCAUCCAAACAAUGACUAUCAGUGCAGGUAAGAAUUUUUUUAAAUUUUUAUUUUUAUCAUCUACAAUACUGUUUUAUUUAUUUCAUAGUACAGUACAUUAUUUAUUGCUUUCAUUUUAUGGAUCAAUGGUCUCAUUAGACAGUAAAAUUCAUGUUAAAUUGCUGUUUUGGGGGUUGUUUUAAAAGUCUGGAAUGGAUUAAUCCAUUUUGCAUUACUUUCCAUGAGAAAGUGAGCCUUGGUUUUGGAACAGACUUCUGGAACAGAUUAAGUUUGAUAACCAAGGUACCACUGUAUAAUUAUGCUUGCAUGAAGUAACAUGCAUAAGCACAUUGGCAACAACAAUACAACAUGGGCUGUAAGUUGUUGUACAAUGUGCUACUUUGUUUUAUAAGGAUCACCCCAGUGCAGUACCUAUGGUGAAGUUGAAGCAUGAUGCUGUCUUGAAGUCUUCCUGCCAUAACCUGGCACUGUGGAAUGGUGCAAAUUACUGAUCUGCCAAAUGCUUGUGUUCUGAAUUUUCCUUGUGUUCUGAAUUUUGAGUAUAUGACAAUAUUGCUUUGUAGCUUUUAGCUAGCCUGUACUAUAUAAUUAAAACAGUAUCGGGCCACUUUAAACAAUCACAGAUUCCCUCAAAGAAAUGUAGGAACUGUAGUUUGUUAAGGCUGCUAAGAGCUCUUAGGAAACCCCUAUUCAUCUCACAGAGCUACAUUUCCAAGAGUUCUCUAGGAAGAGGGAUUGACUGUUAAACCACACCCAACUGGACUCCUUCAAAUCCUCCUUGAGUGCUUUUGCCUACUUGGAGUGUAAUAAUGAAUCUGGUUUGCCUGGAUGGAGGUGUGUGACUGUGUUUAGCCUACUAUACACAAGUAAAAUUUACAGUCAUUGCUCUGCUCACUGUUGCCUCUGGCUCCACCCAUUACUGUCACGUAGCUCCUGGAAAGGUACCCAGAAGGAAAUGAGGCCCUUUAGCUGAAAAAGAUUCCCCACCGCUGAUGUAAUGUGAGGCAGGUAGAUGAAGGCAAGAGGAACUGGAGUCCCAAACAAGACUUUUUAAAACUGCAACAACAAGAGGGACAAGUGCUGCACCUAGCAGCCUAUGUGGACUCCGCUUACCACAACCAGAUGUCUUGGGCUGCCACUGUCGGCACAUGAUUUCCCUAUUUUAAAAAAAGUUUGAAAAAGAGAGAGAAGUGUAAUAAAAUGUCCAAGACAAAGUUGAUUUCACGUUCAAUAUCAAAUUUCAUUGGAGACUCUCUGUGUAGUUAUGAACUUGAACACUAAAACCACAGAUGAAGACAUUUGUGACCCAGCCAUCUUCCUAUUGUCCUUUAUUGCUGAGAUGGGCAUUUUGGGAGAAAAUCAGUGCUGAUACUAAAGAUAGGGAUCAAUAGCUUAUUGUGCUUAGUUUGAGUCUCUUGCUUACAUGUCAGUCCUCCCAUUUGCAAGACAAACAGAUCUGAUAUGAUGAGCUAUCAGAUUUGCCCAGUUGAAGAUCAAGUAUUUUCAUUUGAUUGUUGAUAAUCCCCACUCCACCACACAUAUUUGUUCCCAGUAAUCUCAUAUUCAGAACUGAGGUAUAUAUAUUCCUCCCAUAUAUGGCGAGAUGAAGGCUCAGUAGGUGCCUUGUUGUUAGCUACUUCUCUCUGAUACUUUUAAUUUUUUAAACUCAUCAAAGCUUGCAGACAUCACCAUUUCAGACAGCAAAUUCCGUAAGUUGGUUAUGCUUUGAAGGUGAUUUUUAAAAAACUUUCCUGAUUCUACUGCCUCUUGACUUGCAGUUAUAUAAGUGGUGCUUGUGCCAAGAAGGUGUGAUUAGUGUUGCGGCCUCAAAUGAAUACUCCAAGUUCUAGGAGUAUGGGGGGGGGGGGAGGGGAGGAAAUGUCCUUUCUGUUGUCAUAAAUUUUUAUAAACCUCUGAUAUGAGUUUGGCCUAAGAAGGUCUCUCCAGGUUAGAAGCCAGGGGCUCAGUUCUGCAUAUGCUUUGUGAUAAGUCUCUUGCGCUUCUCUGAACUCCUGCCAGCUCUCAUUUCAAACCAAACUGCACAUGCCCUACAAUAAAAGGGAUCUGGCAAACAGUUGAUGAUAUGGAUUAGGUCUCUUUAAUCCACUUGACAUCAGCCAAUUGCAAUGGCAGUUUCUUCACUGCCCUCUUUUGUUGAAUAGCUUAUUACAGGCCAUCCAUCUCACACAUUCUCAGAGCACAGUAGAGGGCAAUAAGGGAUAAGAUCUACUAAGCUUUUUGUGAGACUCAUGCAACAUAGUUUCAGCUUAUAAGCAACAGUUACAGAGUAACAAAGAAUAACUUGCUUGUUUUAUUUUCCAGAGGUGCAAAAUAAAAUACAGUGGUACCUCGGUUUACGAACUUAAUCCGUUCUAGAAGUCCGUUCUUAAACCGAAACCUUCUUAAACCAAGGCCCUCUUUCCCUAAUGAGGCCUCCUGCCUCCAGUACUCUUCCACCAUUCGGCUCCCGUUCUGAGGUAAAGUGUCCAAACCAGGACACUACUUCUGGUUUUGCAGAGUUCGUAAACCGAAUCGUUCGUAAACAGGGCUGUUCUUAAACGAGGUACCACUGUAAAGUGGGGUCUGUGUGUGUUUCAUUUUAAGGGGGGGGGUAAGUCCUGCUAGAUCAGCCCACAGUUCCAUCUAAUUCAACAUUGUUUCCCCACAUGUGGUAACUACAUUCUUCUGGCAACAGCAGCAGGAUAUGAAAUCAGCAUCCUUCACUGUUUCUUCUCUGCAACUGACAUCCACUGAUACUGAACACUUAGGUUCCAUUUAGACCUCAUGGCUAAUAGCCAUUGAAGGAACUAGCCUCUGGGAAUUGGUCCAAUCCCCUGUGGAUGCAUACUAAACCCAUGCCCAUUGCGACACCUUUUGGCAGAGAGUUCCAUAAAUCAAGUAUGUUUUGUGCAAUGAAGUCCCUUAUCCUGAAUCUUCUUCCAAUGGAUUUUAGUGGGUGACUGUUGUUCUUGAGACUGAAAGAACUCCUCUCUAGCCACAUUCUCCAGACAUGAAUAUAUAUUUUUAAACCUCUCUAGUCUGUUCCAUCGGUCUCAGGAAAUGAGAGGCCUUUGGAUUCUGGGCAUCCUUUUCCAGGACAGCACUUACAUACAGCUUGUUAAUGGUCAUUAGAGUUAGGACAUCCAUCACAGAGCUAUAAUUCCCAGCACUCUUAAUAAACUACAGUUCCCAGGAUUCUUGGGGGGGGCACCAUGACUGAUCAUGUGGUAUAAGACAUCUUUAAAUGCAUUUGUGUGGAUGUGACUGAAAAAGUCCCCCAAAGUGACCUUAAAAGUCCCUUUUGUUUCAUACUAUUCUUUGUACCUUUCAUGUCUUGGAGUUUUUUUUUUCUCCCCCCCCCUUUUGCUCAUACAAGGAGAAUGAGUCCUUUAGAAAAGGACAAAAUCAAGGCUAUUUUUUGAGAUGGCAUCCUAUUAUUAUUGUUUCUCUACAAUCAAAGAUGAGGGGGUAGGGGAAAACAAAGGGAAAAUGAAACUAAAGAGAGAUUACAUAGAAUGUUCAAAGGUAUUUUUAUACAAAUCCCCCUCCUUGCAUCUUUGGGGGGGGGAAUUCUCACUGAAGAGGCCAAAUAUUUUACCUUUGCUUUAUGGCCUGAACUCAGUGCAUAAAUUUAAAGUGUGAAAGCUGAUUGAUCAUAGAAUGUGGGGAUAUUUUGUUUUGUUUGGGUUUUUCUUUUCUACCCGAGUCCGAUUUAUUGCCCUUUCAUAUAGCGUUUUUGGGCUAUACAUUAUUGCUAACAACUUUGCUUGCUCGGAUUACUAUUAAUAAAUGAUACUGUCUGAAGGUUGAAAGCUCUUCAAUGCCAGAAAAUAAAGCAAAAAGAGAGAGUGGAUCCUGCUGCUUUCUGCUUUCCAAUAAAUUCAGGAAACCAAAUGGCUCUUUUUGGCUUGAGUUUAUAUUGCCUGUGAUUAACAUCUUCGCGGGGCAUUCAGACAUUAAGAAGUGGUGCUUUUUUUAGUUGUUACUUUUGUUAUUUUAGAAACCCAUUUAUAAAAAUUGCCUCUGGAAGUGUCAACAGCAAAAAUAUGUGGCUUAGAAUUCCAUUUAUUUGGGGGGGGGGGGAAUAAGCCAAGUAGUCAUUGAAGGAACUGUGCAUGGGGCUUCUGUUUGGAAGGGUGAUGGAGGCAAUCGCUUGACGUAUGGAAUGUCAUGAUAAUAAAAAUAACUGAAGGACACUUCAAGUAAUAGAUAGGGUGGGGAUGGGGUGAAUUCCACCUACCAUACAAGCUUAAUUAAGAGUAGACCCAUUGAAAUGAAUGAGCAAGCCUAAAUUAAGUAAAUUAAUUUCAAUGGGUCUACUGUGGGUGGUGCUGUGGUCUAAACCACAGAGCCUAGGGCUUGCCAAUCAAAAGGUCGGCGGUUUGAAUCCCCGCGAUGGGGUGAGCUCCCGUUGUUCGGUCCCAGCUCCUGUCCACCUAGCAGUUUGAAAGCACGUCAAGAGCAAGUAGAUAAAUAGGUACCGCUCCGGCGGGAAGGUAAACGGCAUUUCCGUGCGCUGCUCUGGUUCACCAGAAGUGGCUUAGUCAUGCUGGCCACAUGACCUGGAAGCUGUCUAUGGACAAACACCGGCUCCCUCAGCCUAUGGAGUGAGAUGAGCGCCGCAACCCCAGAUUUGUCUGCGACUGGACCUAAUGGUCAGGGGUACCUAUACCUUUACUGUGAGGGAAACUCAGCUGAAUACCACUCUUUGCCAGUUGACAACUGGAAGAGGGUGGAAAGUAGAUGAGAUUAACUGGGUGGGAAUGUCUUGAGAUUGCUAGAGUCCUCUUCAUAAAUUGAGUGGACAGGCGGAGUCCCCCCAACUCCAGGCGACCCCUGAGCAGAAUAAUGACUCAAGAUAAUGUGCUAUGGGAUUAAAAUUGGCCACAACUUUAUUAAAUUUCAGGUGUAGGGAGACCUUGGCUCAGGCAUUGGGCAUUUAUCCUUCCCAGUCCCCAGCCGGGAAUCUGGGAGACAUCAGGGUUAUCCAGAAUGUGUGGGGAUUGAGCUAGCUCUGGAGAACAUAUGUUCAAGCAGAGAGCCCGCCCCCUGUUUUGCCACCGUUGGAGGGGAGAGCAAUGACUACCUCUCGGCAUAUGGCCAAUGCCUCCUCUCAAGACCCCUUUAACAGGGAACCCUGAGAUCACCGCUGCAAGGGGGGCAUGGGUCACCGCUUCACACCCCCCCCCAUAUAGGAAGAUGCCCAAAGCCUGAAACUGCCAAAGUUGUUUCAUUUUGCUAAGGGAAAGGCAAAACCUGCCAAUGCAGGAAAAUUCCUUUCUGGCCCUUCAACAGUGACCCUGAUGUAGCAGCGCCUGCGUACCUGUGGAAAAGAAGUUAACCUGCAAAAGAAGACUUAACUGAGGGAGGGCAGAGUGGGAGAAGCUCUGGAGCCAACUGAUGCUUCACAGGUAAGAUUCACCUUCUGUUGUGCG
Molecule: long non-coding RNA, 29332 nt
Filed under: Podarcis lilfordi (Lilford's wall lizard)
Lineage: Eukaryota; Metazoa; Chordata; Lepidosauria; Squamata; Lacertidae
Source: RNAcentral